This 222-nucleotide ribosomal RNA is filed under the name uncultured bacterium. Its description in RNAcentral is "partial 16S ribosomal RNA". It matches the Rfam family "Bacterial small subunit ribosomal RNA", at positions 109 to 334 of the family's 1533-position model. The record is from RNAcentral.
AGUAAUACAUCGGAACGUGUCUUCUAGUGGGGGAUAACUGCCCGAAAGGGCAGCUAAUACCGCAUGAGACCUGAGGGUGAAAGCGGGGGAUCGCAAGACCUCGCGCCGGAAGAGCGGCCGAUGUCCGAUUAGCUAGUUGGUGAGGUAAAGGCUCACCAAGGCGACGAUCGGUAGCUGGUCUGAGAGGACGACCAGCCACACUGGGACUGAGACACGGCCCAG